GAUGAAGAACGCAGUGAAAUGCGAUACUUGGUGUGAAUUGCAGAAUCCCGCGAAUCAUCGAGUCUUUGAACGCAAGUUGCGCCUCAAGCCAUUAGGUUGAGGGCACGUCUGCCUGGGCGUCACAUAUCGUUGCCUGAUGCCAGUUUCCUCGUGAUGGGUGACUGUGCAGGGCGAAUGAUGGCUUCCCGUGAGCAUUGUUGCCUCAUGGUUGGUUGAAAAUUGAGUCCUUGGUAGGGAGCGCCGUGAUAGAUGGUGGUUGAGUGACGAACGAGACCCAAUCAUGUGAGACCCCUACCGAAUUUGGCCUUCAUGACCCACAUGCGUCUUUGGAACGCUCAUGACGAGACCUCAGGUCAGGCGGGGCUACCCGCUGAGUUUAAGCAUAUCAAUAAGCGGAGGA
This 400-nucleotide unclassified non-coding RNA is filed under the name soil metagenome. RNAcentral describes it as "partial contains 5.8S ribosomal RNA, internal transcribed spacer 2, and large subunit ribosomal RNA". The stretch from base 1 to 122 matches the Rfam family "5.8S ribosomal RNA", at positions 35 to 154 of the family's 154-position model. The record is from RNAcentral.